This 253-nucleotide ribosomal RNA is filed under the name uncultured bacterium. Its description in RNAcentral is "partial 16S ribosomal RNA". It matches the Rfam family "Bacterial small subunit ribosomal RNA", at positions 524 to 776 of the family's 1533-position model. The record is from RNAcentral.
UACGUAGGGGGCAAGCGUUGUCCGGAAUCAUUGGGCGUAAAGCGCGUGUAGGCGGCCCAGUAAGUCCGCUGUGAAAGCCCAGGGCUCAACCCUGGGAUGCCGGUGGAUACUGUUGGGCUCGAGUCCGGAAGAGGCGAGUGGAAUUCCCGGUGUAGCGGUGAAAUGCGCAGAUAUCAGGAGGAACACCGGUGGCGAAGGCGGGUCUCUGGGCCGAUACUGACGCUGAGGAGCGAAAGCGUGGGGAGCGAACAGG